This 497-nucleotide ribosomal RNA is filed under the name uncultured bacterium. RNAcentral describes it as "partial 16S ribosomal RNA". It matches the Rfam family "Bacterial small subunit ribosomal RNA", at positions 28 to 507 of the family's 1533-position model. The record is from RNAcentral.
GAUGAACGCUGGCGGCGUGCCUAAUACAUGCAAGUCGAGCGAACGGACGAGAAGCUUGCUUCUCUGAUGUUAGCGGCGGACGGGUGAGUAACACGUGGAUAACCUACCUAUAAGACUGGGAUAACUUCGGGAAACCGUAGCUAAUACCGGAUAAUAUUUUGAACCGCAUGGUUCAAAAGUGAAAGACGGUCUUGCUGUCACUUAUAGAUGGAUCCGCGCUGCAUUAGCUAGUUGGUAAGGUAACGGCUUACCAAGGCAACGAUGCAUAGCCGACCUGAGAGGGUGAUCGGCCACACUGGAACUGAGACACGGUCCAGACUCCUACGGGAGGCAGCAGUAGGGAAUCUUCCGCAAAGGGCGAAAGCCUGACGGAGCAACGCCGCGUGAGUGAUGAAGGUCUUCGGAUCGUAAAACUCUGUUAUUAGGGAAGAACAUAUGUGUAAGUGACUGUGCACAUCUUGACGGUACCUAAUCAGAAAGCCACGGCUAACUACGUG